Molecule: non-coding RNA, 296 nt
Filed under: Bathycoccus prasinos
Lineage: Eukaryota; Viridiplantae; Chlorophyta; Mamiellophyceae; Mamiellales; Bathycoccaceae
Source: RNAcentral
UUUUUUAUUCUUUUUUUUCUCUCUGGAAAUGUGCUCAAAUUUGCAAAAAUCAAUGUUGGAGGUUGGAAACAGUACACACGCGAUGCGUACAUUAAGGAUCUAAAACCAAUCAAAAGAAGCGAUGAUAUAUGUUACCGCUACUACUGUUGUUGUUGUUUGUUGAAGCAUGAAGCAUGAGCGAGAAACCGGUGGUCAAAAUUCGAACUUGCGCGCGCAGAACGGCGCUGGUGUUUUUUAUUUUAUUUGGACGAAGUGACACGUCUCUCCCUCCAUCCAUAAAGUGAGAAGAGUUUAAA